GAUGAACGCUAGCGACAGGCCUAAUACAUGCAAGUCGAGGGGCAGCACGGUGUAGCAAUACACGGGUGGCGACCGGCGCACGGGUGAGUAACGCGUAUGCAACCUGCCUACUACAAGGGGAUAACCCGUUGAAAGACGGACUAAUACCCUAUAACACAGGGAAUCCGCAUGGAUAUAUUUGUUAAAGAUUUAUCGGUAGUAGAUGGGCAUGCGUUCCAUUAGCUUGUUGGUGAGGUAACGGCUCACCAAGGCAACGAUGGAUAGGGGAACUGAGAGGUUGAUCCCCCACACUGGAACUGAGACACGGUCCAGACUCCUACGGGAGGCAGCAGUGAGGAAUAUUGGUCAAUGGACGAGAGUCUGAACCAGCCAAGUCGCGUGAAGGAAGACGGCCCUACGGGUUGUAAACUUCUUUUGUAAGGGAAUAAAUAGUCUUACGCGCUAAGACGUUGCAGGUACCUUACGAAUAAGGAUCGGCUAACUCCGUG
RNAcentral lists this ribosomal RNA (488 nucleotides) under uncultured bacterium. RNAcentral describes it as "bacterial SSU rRNA". It matches the Rfam family "Bacterial small subunit ribosomal RNA", at positions 28 to 507 of the family's 1533-position model. The record is from RNAcentral.